RNAcentral lists this ribosomal RNA (469 nucleotides) under uncultured bacterium. RNAcentral's name for it is "bacterial SSU rRNA". It matches the Rfam family "Bacterial small subunit ribosomal RNA", at positions 328 to 794 of the family's 1533-position model. The record is from RNAcentral.
CAUCCAGACUCCUACGGGAGGCAGCAGUGAGGAAUAUUGGUCAAUGGCCGGAAGGCUGAACCAGCCAAGUCGCGUGAGGGAAUAAGGCCCUAUGGGUCGUAAACCUCUUUUGCCGGGGAGCAACGGGGUCCUUGCGAGGGCCCGAUGAGAGUACCCGGAGAAAAAGCAUCGGCUAACUCCGUGCCAGCAGCCGCGGUAAUACGGAGGAUGCGAGCGUUAUCCGGAUUUAUUGGGUUUAAAGGGUGCGUAGGCGGGCUGUUAAGUCAGCGGUCAAAUGUCGGGGCUCAACCCCGGCCUGCCGUUGAAACUGACACCCUUGAGUGAGUGAGAAGUAAGCGGAAUGCGUGGUGUAGCGGUGAAAUGCAUAGAUAUCACGCAGAACGCCGAUUGCGAAGGCAGCAUACCGGCGGCGAUCUGACGCUGAGGCACGAAAGCGUGGGUAUCGAACAGGAUUAGAUACCCCGGUACU